Sitodiplosis mosellana (orange wheat blossom midge) is the source of this 73-nucleotide non-coding RNA. Lineage: Eukaryota; Metazoa; Arthropoda; Insecta; Diptera; Cecidomyiidae. The record is from the annotation of a RefSeq genome assembly.
GGUUUCAUAGUGUAGUGGUUAUCACGCCUGCUUCACACGCAGGAGGUCUUGGGUUCGAUCCCCAAUGAAACCA